GGGGAGAUAUCAAAGCGGCCAACUGGGGCAGACUGUAAAUCUGCUGUCUUAUGACUUCAUAGGUUCGAAUCCUAUUCUCCCCA
This 83-nucleotide transfer RNA is filed under the name Bacteroidales bacterium. Its description in RNAcentral is "tRNA-Tyr". It matches the Rfam family "tRNA". From Rfam's summary of the family: Transfer RNA (tRNA) molecules are approximately 80 nucleotides in length. Their secondary structure includes four short double-helical elements and three loops (D, anti-codon, and T loops). The record is from RNAcentral. Lineage: Bacteria; Pseudomonadati; Bacteroidota; Bacteroidia; Bacteroidales.